RNAcentral lists this ribosomal RNA (359 nucleotides) under uncultured bacterium. RNAcentral's name for it is "bacterial SSU rRNA". It matches the Rfam family "Bacterial small subunit ribosomal RNA", at positions 8 to 352 of the family's 1533-position model. The record is from RNAcentral.
AGAGUUUGAUCCUGGCUCAGAAUCAACGCUGGCGGCGUGCCUAACACAUGCAAGUCGAACGCGAAAGCCCCGAAAGGGGCAAGUAGAGUGGCAAACGGGUGAGUAACGCGUGGGUGACCUGCCUUCGAGCGGGGGAUAACGUUCCGAAAGGGACGCUAAUACCGCAUAACAUCCUGUCCUUGAACGGAUGGUGAUCAAAGCUGGGGAUUCGCAAGAACCCGGCACUUGAAGAGGGGCCCGCGUCUGAUUAGCUAGUUGGUGAGGUAACGGCUCACCAAGGCAACGAUCAGUAUCCGGCCUGAGAGGGCGGACGGACACACUGGGACUGAGACACGGCCCAGACUCCUACGGGAGGCAGC